UGGAACUUUUUAUGCCUAAUUGAAAUGGCGAGAAGUACUUGUGGGGUGAAUAACUCCUUUGAAAGUCAGGACAACAGGUUGAGGUUCCUUGUGGGGGAAAGAAGGCCCGACUCCAGGAAUUUUAAAUCAUGGCGACAAUUUGGAGAGAUCCGAAAACGUACGCCCACCAGAACAUGUAAAUAGAGUUUCGGUAUCGAGGAGGGAGCUUGGUAUGCAAUUUGCUCAUUUGACACUUGAAAUAUGUGGCAACAAUACGAGAGGAGGAACAGGAAAUUUUUUCGCAUUUCGCGUUUCGCAUUCGCAAUUGCAAUUGCAAUCGAAAUGGCCAUGUCUGCGGCUCUAUAGGCAAAUGUCAGCCAACAACCUCGUCGCAGGCGGUGACAAUGACAGGUAAAGGGGGCCUGCGGGGCUUCGAUGGACAUCGGGCUAACUGGCGACGACAAGUGGACAAGCCAGCUCCUAGCUGCGAGCUGCGAGCUGCCUCUGGAUCAGGCUGUCUAUCUGUAGGUCUGUCUGGCAGCCCCUGAUCGCCGGGAUGAACUCUGAACCUGUACAAAAUAUGCGGCCAACUUGUUUCCAAUGCACGCCCCGAGGAGCAGGCAGCAACGCCCCCAACUCGCCACGGCAUCUGGAUGUUGGCCACCCUGUGGAAGACAGAGUCUCUGGACAUUUGAAGAAGGAAAACAGGCGGAAAAAACUGCUGAUUUUAUAUUAGGUGAUACAUAACAUUAAAAUAAGCAAGGCGAAUCUCUACACGCGUUAAAUGUAAACUCUAUAAAAUCCUUUUAAGUGGAACUUAUUCCAAAAGCAAUAAAUUUA
RNAcentral lists this small RNA (819 nucleotides) under Drosophila yakuba. RNAcentral's name for it is "GE28353". Lineage: Eukaryota; Metazoa; Arthropoda; Insecta; Diptera; Drosophilidae. The record is from RNAcentral.